GGGGUACUCGAGUGGCGAACGGGUGAGUAACACGUGGGUGAUCUGCCCUGCACUUUGGGAUAAGCCUGGGAAACUGGGUCUAAUACCGAAUAUGACCACACUCUUCCUGGUGUGUGGUGGAAAGCUUUUGCGGUGUGGGAUGGGCCCGCGGCCUAUCAGCUUGUUGGUGGGGUAAUGGCCUACCAAGGCGACGACGGGUAGCCGGCCUGAGAGGGUGACCGGCCACACUGGGACUGAGAUACGGCCCAGACUCCUACGGGAGGCAGCAGUGGGGAAUAUUGCACAAUGGGCGCAAGCCUGAUGCAGCGACGCCGCGUGAGGGAUGACGGCCUUCGGGUUGUAAACCUCUUUCAAUAGGGACGAAGCGCAAGUGACGGUACCUAUAGAAGAAGGACCGGCAACUACGUGCCAGCAGCCGCGGUAAUACGUAGGGUCCGAGCGUUGUCCGGAAUUACUGGGCGUAAAGAGCUCGUAGGUGGUUUGUCGCGUUGUUCGUGAAAACUCACAGCUUAACUGUGGGCGUGCGGGCGAUACGGGCAGACUAGAGUACUGCAGGGGAGACUGGAAUUCCUGGUGUAGCGGUGGAAUGCGCAGAUAUCAGGAGGAACACCGGUGGCGAAGGCGGGUCUCUGGGCAGUAACUGACGCUGAGGAGCGAAAGCGUGGGGAGCGAACAGGAUUAGAUACCCUGGUAGUCCACGCCGUAAACGGUGGGUACUAGGUGUGGGUUUCCUUCCUUGGGAUCCGUGCCGUAGCUAACGCAUUAAGUACCCCGCCUGGGGAGUACGGCCGCAAGGCUAAAACUCAAAGAAAUUGACGGGGGCCCGCACAAGCGGCGGAGCAUGUGGAUUAAUUCGAUGCAACGCGAAGAACCUUACCUGGGUUUGACAUGCACAGGACGCCAGUAGAGAUAUUGGUUCCCUUGUGGCCUGUGUGCAGGUGGUGCAUGGCUGUCGUCAGCUCGUGUCGUGAGAUGUUGGGUUAAGUCCCGCAACGAGCGCAACCCUUGUCUCAUGUUGCCAGCACGUAAUGGUGGGGACUCGUGAGAGACUGCCGGGGUCAACUCGGAGGAAGGUGGGGAUGACGUCAAGUCAUCAUGCCCCUUAUGUCCAGGGCUUCACACAUGCUACAAUGGCCGGUACAAAGGGCUGCGAUGCCGUGAGGUGGAGCGAAUCCUUUCAAAGCCGGUCUCAGUUCGGAUCGGGGUCUGCAACUCGACCCCGUGAAGUCGGAGUCGCUAGUAAUCGCAGAUCAGCAACGCUGCGGUGAAUACGUUCCCGGGCCUUGUACACACCGCCCGUCACGUCAUGAAAGUCGGUAACACCCGAAGCCGG
This 1333-nucleotide ribosomal RNA is filed under the name Mycobacterium sp. Its description in RNAcentral is "bacterial SSU rRNA". It matches the Rfam family "Bacterial small subunit ribosomal RNA", at positions 84 to 1430 of the family's 1533-position model. The record is from RNAcentral. Lineage: Bacteria; Bacillati; Actinomycetota; Actinomycetes; Mycobacteriales; Mycobacteriaceae.